This 100-nucleotide small nuclear RNA is filed under the name Sciurus vulgaris (Eurasian red squirrel). Lineage: Eukaryota; Metazoa; Chordata; Mammalia; Rodentia; Sciuridae. The record is from RNAcentral.
UUACAUUCUAAAUAUAGUAAAACUGGAAUGAUACAGAGAAGCUUAACGUGGCCCCUUUAGCAAGGAUGACAUGCAAAUUCAUGAAGCAUUUCAAAUUUUU